UUUAAGUGGCUAUUUAGAUGGAUGGAGCUAGUUUAGGAAGAGAAACUGAAUUUGUUUAAAUCCCAACUGCUCCAGGUUUGUGUGUGCCCUUGGGUGAUUGUGCCCUUUUACGGCUUAUCACCACAGUUCCAGCGACUUCUUGUAGAAAAAAAGGUGCAGAUCCCAGAGGAGCCUGCGAUAUCCACAGGACAUCCCCACUGACAGCGCGAGUCUGCAGUGAAUCUCUAUCAAACGGAGCUUUGACAAAGAUGUGAACCUAGUCUAAGUCACGACAGCACCAACCGAGAGAGAUGGACUCUCCUCCAGGAAAAGGAAACCUAGAGUACAAAAAGGAUGCACAACCCUCUCUGCCUCAGAGAAUUACCGAGACUUAAGAAGCAUCCUACAUAAGUGAUCACACCACAAGUGAGAAGAACAAGAAAAAGGAGGGGAAUAGUAUCUGGUGCUGACGUGACUACGAGGAAAUAGAAUUACCAGUGAGUAAUUACCAGCUUUCCACCCCGUCACGACAGCACCACCAGAGAGAAUACCGGAGAAGUAUUAGGGAGGGACCAACGCCUAAAGAACUUUGCGCCCAAAAGCCAAGGAGGAUAGAUCGUCAGCCCUGAGCCUACAGUGCCGAAAAAAAGUAUGUGGGGAUGACCAAGUAGCCGCCCUACUGAUUUGAGCAAAAGAAGCACCUCUUUUCUCUGCCCAUGAUGAGAUGACUGCUCUAGUAGAGUAGGCUCUCAAGUUGGCUGGAGGAGACAGACCUGCAGAGGAAUAAGCUGC
Molecule: long non-coding RNA, 771 nt
Organism: Hyla sarda
Lineage: Eukaryota; Metazoa; Chordata; Amphibia; Anura; Hylidae
Exons: 5
Source: RefSeq, a predicted model, not a curated record